RNAcentral lists this ribosomal RNA (480 nucleotides) under uncultured bacterium. Its description in RNAcentral is "bacterial SSU rRNA". It matches the Rfam family "Bacterial small subunit ribosomal RNA", at positions 32 to 507 of the family's 1533-position model. The record is from RNAcentral.
GGACGACGCUGGCGGCGUGCUUAAUACAUGCAAGUCAACUUGACUUUAGAUAGCAAUAUCGAAAAGUAGGGUGGCGCACAGGUGCGUAACGCGUAGGUAAUCUGCCCUGAGGUCUGACAUAACCCGUCGAAAGGCGGGCUAACAUCAGAUGAUAUAUAAUCACGACAUCGUGGAAAUAUCAAAUCUUCGGAGCCUUGGGAUGAGCCUGCGUCUGAUUAGGUAGUUUGGCGGAGUAAUAGCCCACCAAGCCUACGAUCAGUAGCUGGUCUGAGAGGAUGAUCAGCCACACUGGAACUGAGACACGGUCCAGACUCCUACGGGAGGCAGCAGUAAGGAAUAUUGCUCAAUGGGGGAAACCCUGAAGCAGCAACGCCGCGUGAAGGAUGAAAUACUUUGUAUGUAAACUUCUGUAAGAUGGGAAAAAUAUUCUCCUCGGGAGAAUUGAUUGUACCAUCAGAGUAAGCCCCGGCUAACUACGUG